Molecule: ribosomal RNA, 496 nt
Filed under: uncultured bacterium
Lineage: Bacteria
Description: partial 16S ribosomal RNA
Rfam family: Bacterial small subunit ribosomal RNA
Source: RNAcentral
AUGAACGCUGGCGGCGUGCCUAAUACAUGCCAGUCGAGCGAACAGAUGAGGAGCUUGCUCCUCUGACGUUAGCGGCGGACGGGUGAGUAACACGUGGAUAACCUACCUAUAAGACUGGGAUAACUUCGGGAAACCGGAGCUAAUACCGGAUAAUAUAUUGAACCGCGUGGUUCAAUAGUGAAAGACGGUUUUGCUGUCACUUAUAGAUGGAUCCGCGCCGCAUUAGCUAGUUGGUAAGGUAACGGCUUACCAAGGCGACGAUGCGUAGCCGACCUGAGAGGGUGAUCGGCCACACUGGAACUGAGACACGGUCCAGACUCCUACGGGAGGCAGCAGUAGGGAAUCUUCCGCAAUGGGCGAAAGCCUGACGGAGCAACGCCGCGUGAGUGAUGAAGGUCUUCGGAUCGUAAAACUCUGUUAUUAGGGAAGAACAAAUGUGUAAGUAACUAUGCACGUCUUGACGGUACCUAAUCAGAAAGCCACGGCUAACUACGUG